CUUUUCGUUAAUUGUUUUUGAGAUGCUUGCAUCGAAGAGGAUUUUAACUCUAAAGUGAGUGGCGAACGGGUGAGUAACACGUGGGUAACCUGCCCAGAAGUGGGGGAUAACACCUGGAAACAGAUGCUAAUACCGCAUAACAAAAUUAACCGCAUGGUUGAUUUUUAAAAGAUGGCUUCGGCUAUCACUUCUGGAUGGACCCGCGGCGUAUUAGCUAGUUGGUGAGAUAAAGGCUCACCAAGGCAGUGAUACGUAGCCGACCUGAGAGGGUAAUCGGCCACAUUGGGACUGAGACACGGCCCAGACUCCUACGGGAGGCAGCAGUAGGGAAUCUUCCACAAUGGACGCAAGUCUGAUGGAGCAACGCCGCGUGAGUGAUGAAGGCUUUCGGGUCGUAAAACUCUGUUGUUGGAGAAGAACGUGUGUGAGAGUAACUGCUCAUGCAGUGACGGUAUCCAACCAGAAAGCCACGGCUAACUACGUGCCAGCAGCCGCGGUAAUACGUAGGUGGCAAGCGUUAUCCGGAUUUAUUGGGCGUAAAGCGAGCGCAGGCGGUCUUUUAAGUCUAAUGUGAAAGCCUUCGGCUUAACCGAAGAAGUGCAUUGGAAACUGGGAGACUUGAGUGCAGAAGAGGAGAGUGGAACUCCAUGUGUAGCGGUGAAAUGCGUAGAUAUAUGGAAGAACACCAGUGGCGAACGCGGCUCUCUGGUCUGCAACUGACGCUGAGCUCGAAAGCAUGGUAGCGAACAGGAUUAGAUACCCUGGUAGUCAUGCGUAACGAUGAUGCUAGUGUGAGGUUCGCCCUCAGUGCUGCAGCUACGCAUUAGCAUUC
Molecule: ribosomal RNA, 832 nt
Filed under: Pediococcus ethanolidurans
Lineage: Bacteria; Bacillati; Bacillota; Bacilli; Lactobacillales; Lactobacillaceae
Description: bacterial SSU rRNA
Rfam family: Bacterial small subunit ribosomal RNA
Source: RNAcentral